UAAGCAUAUCAAUAAGCGGAGGAAAAGAAACCAACAGGGAUUGCCCUAGUAACGGCGAGUGAAGCGGCAACAGCUCAAAUUUGAAAUCUGGCGUAAGCCCGAGUUGUAAUUUGUAGAGGAUGCUUCUGGGUAGCGACCGAUCUAAGUUCCUUGGAACAGGACGUCAUAGAGGGUGAGAAUCCCGUAUGUGACCGGCCCGCACCCUUUACGUAGCUCCUUCGACGAGUCGAGUUGUUUGGGAAUGCAGCUCUAAAUGGGAGGUAAAUUUCUUCUAAAGCUAAAUACCGGCCAGAGACCGAUAGCGCACAAGUAGAGUGAUCGAAAGAUGAAAAGUACUUUGGAAAGAGAGUUAAAAAGCACGUGAAAUUGUUGAAAGGGAAGCGCCUACAACCAGACUUCGUGGCAGUGUUCCGCCGGUCUUCUGACCGGUUUAUUCUCUGUCGCGAGGCCAUCAUCGUCUAGGCCCGCCGGAUAAGACCUUAGGAAUGUAGCUCACCUUCGGGGGAGUGUUAUAGCUUGUGGUGAUGCGGCGAGGCUUGGGCGAGGUCCGCGCUUCGGCAAGGAUGAUGGCGUAAUGGUUGUCGGCGGCCCGUCUUGAAACACGGACCAAGGAGUCUAACAUCUAUGCGAGUGUUCGGGUGUCAAACCCCUACGCGUAAUGAAAGUGAACGGAGGUGGGAACCGCAAGGUGCACCAUCGACCGAUCCUGAUGUCCUCGGAUGGAUUUGAGUAAGAGCAUAGCUGUUGGGACCCGAAAGAUGGUGAACUAUGCCUGAAUAGGGUGAAGCCAGAGGAAACUCUGGUGGAGGCUCGCAGCGGUUCUGACGUGCAAAUCGAUCGUCAAAUUUGGGUAUAGGGGCGAAAGACUAAUCGAACCAUCUAGUAGCUGGUUCCUGCCGAAG
Molecule: ribosomal RNA, 902 nt
Filed under: Septoria justiciae
Lineage: Eukaryota; Fungi; Ascomycota; Dothideomycetes; Mycosphaerellales; Mycosphaerellaceae
Description: LSU rRNA
Rfam family: Eukaryotic large subunit ribosomal RNA
Source: RNAcentral